CUAGCGUUCUCUUCUUUUAUAUAUGUCAAGAUCUCACAACUGCAAAUCUGCAAUUCUGCCACAUCCUCAUAUUCUACUCUCAACCUCUCUGUCUUAGGCACGCACGCUAGUGCGCUGGCACGCACACUGUCAAAGAGACGAGCUAAAGUCAUGUCAACAAAGAAUAAUCGAGUGUACCUUAGACCAAGUAUCAUCAAGAAAGCCAUUUCCCUAAAACAGAACUCUGUUGGUAAGAAAGUUGCUGGGAACUGGGGGCUUUCUGGAUGUUGUGGAUUCAGACUACCCAAAAG
RNAcentral lists this unclassified non-coding RNA (290 nucleotides) under Hevea brasiliensis (rubber tree). Lineage: Eukaryota; Viridiplantae; Streptophyta; Magnoliopsida; Malpighiales; Euphorbiaceae. The record is from RNAcentral.